CGAAAUUUUGUCUUUUUAAAGGAAGGUUAAUCUAAGGAUAUAUAUUGUAUAUAUUAAGACUAUAUUUCAUAGAUUAAUUGUCAUGAAUUUUACAGUAACAUUCACUGAACUGUAUAAAAUGGACAGAUGUUUGACCAAAAGACAAAUAGUCCGGUAAAUAACGGAUCUCUUGCCAUGUUGAAGUCAAUUUGAUCUGAAAUGAAUUAUACCUUUUAAUUGCAGGUUGAUGAACAUACAAGAGUUCUCAACAGAUUAGACACAGCCUUUAAACAUGUAUCAUCUAACAUAAACAAAAAAGUUCUACACAUGAGUAAGUAUUGUAAAUUCUCAUGUUUGGUGUUAUCCAUUUAAUAAAACUAUGUUAUCCUCCCACCAAACAAAGUUAGGAGUCCAAACUUGCAGAUACAAUACUUCUCCAUUGCAGUAAUGUUCCUGAUUCAAUCAACUAUAAAUUAAUGGAGGAAUUAUCUAUUGAUGCAUCCACACUUAAUUUUGGUAACAAGGACUUCAAUUUACACAAUAAUGACUAUGGUUAAACGAUCUGGUCUCCCUCAUAAAAAUUUAUACUGUACUUGGCAUUACAAAAUUUGUGCUCCAAACACCAAACCUACUACUAUAAUUCAAUGAUUUCGGAGUCUGAGUAUGAUUAUCUUACUUGAAAGUUUUAUGACGCAAGCCCAGAUCUUAGAAACUAACAAUUUAUGAAUCGGAGAGAAAAGAUCUUUUGUCACUUGAUGCAUUUAUCUGUGACAUGGGUCCACCCUAUAAUUAUGUAUAGGUCACAUGACCUUCAUUAUAUCAUUUUAAGAUUGAAAUACAAAUUCUAAAAUAUAAAGAUAUAGUGAUUAGCUAUUGUUCUAAUUGGCUCUAUCUUUUGAGAUUGUUUGGUUUACUAUGUUGUUGCAUAGUUAUUUUGUUGAGAUAAUAAUAACAUCUGCUUUCAUAGAUUCAAGGUGAACAUUAAAAAGGUCUCUGUAAAAGGCGAUAUUGGUAACUGAACUAUUUAUGCCAAUGCCUUAUAUGUCAACUAGAAAGAUGGUUGAAGUUUAAUCUUUAGUAGCGCUGAAUUGUAUGUUACUUUCUACAUGUCUUUUGAUUAUAUGUGUCAUUAGGUUGCUGUCUCACAUCAAUGAUACCUGCUUACAUCUCUUUUAUUAUUGACAAUUUUCUUGAAUUCAUCUUGAAAUUUAAGAAGGAAGGGUUACUCAUAAUUAAUAAUCUUCUUGAACUUAAACAUAUAACAUGUUUUAUGUAGUUCUUCUUUCACAUAAAUAUGUUCAUAUAUAAUAUUUUUUCUUACAGAAGAAUCACAACAGCCAUUAGAAACACCAAGACGAGUUAUGCAGUCACUUUUUGUCCUUUCCAACACCAAAAUGACCGGGUUUUCAUAAAGGCAUUUCGCUGCAUUUUGUAUAUUUUAACCUACUUUAAAGAUAGAAAUGUUGAUUAAAUUACCAAUACAUGUACAGCGUACCUGUGUAUUAUUUAAUAUUGCUCAAACUCUAAAUGUCAUAUAUAUUUGUGUUCAACACUUCAAUCGCUAUACAGUGAACGUGUUCAUGUCAAAUAUUUUAUUGAAAAAUAAAAGAAUAUUGCACUAUAAUAAGACGUUAAUGUUUCAGUGAAUAUCUGUUGUACAUUCUGUUAGAUCAGCUGUAAAGACCAAUCUGUCAGUUUGAUUUAACUCUCUGUCCUCUGCAAGUCAGCAAUACAAAUAGACCUACAAUAACAAACAUAGUAAUGGAUUAACCAGAUUCUCCUUACAGUUGUUUAUUUAAACAUUAUUGAAAAAGGCAAAAUGGGCUAAUCCCAGUU
This 1815-nucleotide long non-coding RNA is filed under the name Mytilus galloprovincialis (Mediterranean mussel). The record is from RNAcentral. Lineage: Eukaryota; Metazoa; Mollusca; Bivalvia; Mytilida; Mytilidae.